UAAAGUUUACUUAACCAGUUAGAGAGUUGGACUUCCGGACCAGAAGUUCUAAUCCAAAGGGUGCGGGUUCAAGUCCCGCCCAGAGUAA
Molecule: non-coding RNA, 88 nt
Organism: Perkinsus chesapeaki
Lineage: Eukaryota; Perkinsozoa; Perkinsida; Perkinsidae
Source: the annotation of a GenBank genome assembly